CCUACGGGAGGCAGCAGUAGGGAAUCUUCCGCAAUGGACGAAAGUCUGACGGAGCAACGCCGCGUGAGCGAUGAAGGCCUUCGGGUCGUAAAGCUCUGUUGUUAGGGAAGAACAAGUAUCGGAGUAACUGCCGGUACCUUGACGGUACCUAACCAGAAAGCCACGGCUAACUACGUGCCAGCAGCCGCGGUAAUACGUAGGUGGCAAGCGUUGUCCGGAAUUAUUGGGCGUAAAGCGCGCGCAGGUGGUUCCUUAAGUCUGAUGUGAAAGCCCACGGCUCAACCGUGGAGGGUCAUUGGAAACUGGGGAACUUGAGUGCAGAAGAGGAAAGUGGAAUUCCACGUGUAGCGGUGAAAUGCGUAGAGAUGUGGAGGAACACCAGUGGCGAAGGCGACUUUCUGGUC
RNAcentral lists this ribosomal RNA (404 nucleotides) under uncultured Actinomycetes bacterium. RNAcentral describes it as "bacterial SSU rRNA". It matches the Rfam family "Bacterial small subunit ribosomal RNA", at positions 338 to 734 of the family's 1533-position model. Lineage: Bacteria; Bacillati; Actinomycetota; Actinomycetes. The record is from RNAcentral.